UCCAGUGUGACGUAGUGGUUUGAGUGUUGGACUAUGACUCUGGAGACCAGGGUUCAAUUUCCCGCUCAGCCA
This 72-nucleotide transfer RNA is filed under the name Phrynosoma platyrhinos (Desert horned lizard). RNAcentral's name for it is "tRNA-OTHER". Lineage: Eukaryota; Metazoa; Chordata; Lepidosauria; Squamata; Phrynosomatidae. The record is from RNAcentral.